RNAcentral lists this ribosomal RNA (433 nucleotides) under uncultured bacterium. RNAcentral describes it as "partial 16S ribosomal RNA". It matches the Rfam family "Bacterial small subunit ribosomal RNA", at positions 29 to 507 of the family's 1533-position model. The record is from RNAcentral.
AACGAACGCUGGCGGCAUGCCUAACACAUGCAAGUCGAACGAGACCUUCGGGCCUAGUGGCGCACGGGUGCGUAACGCGUGGGAACCUGCCCUUAGGUUCGGAAUAACUCCCCGAAAGGGGUGCUAAUACCGGAUAAUGUCUUCGGACCAAAGAUUUAUCGCCUUUGGAUGGGCCCGCGUUGGAUUAGCUAGUUGGUAGGGUAAAAGCCUACCAAGGGGACGAUCCAUAGCUGGUCUGAGAGGAUGAUCAGCCACACUGGGACUGAGACACGGCCCAGACUCCUACGGGAGGCAGCAGUGGGGAAUAUUGGACAAUGGGCGAAGGCCUGAUCCAGCAAUGCCGCGUGAGUGAUGAAGGCCUUAGGGUUGUAAAGCUCUUUUACCCGGGAUGAUAAUGACAGUACCGGGAGAAUAAGCUCCGGCUAACUCCGUG